This 253-nucleotide ribosomal RNA is filed under the name uncultured bacterium. RNAcentral's name for it is "partial 16S ribosomal RNA". It matches the Rfam family "Bacterial small subunit ribosomal RNA", at positions 524 to 776 of the family's 1533-position model. The record is from RNAcentral.
UACGUAGGGGGCGAGCGUUGUCCGGAUUCAUUGGGCGUAAAGCGCGCGUAGGCGGCCCCGCAAGUCGGCCGUGAAAUCUCCGGGCUCAACUCGGAGGGGUCGGGCGAGACUGCGAGGCUCGAGGUGGGCAGAGGGCAGUGGAAUUCCGGGUGUAGUGGUGGAAUGCGUAGAGAUCCGGAGGAACACCAGUGGCGAAGGCGGCUGCCUGGGCCUGGCCUGACGCUGAGGCGCGAAAGCGUGGGGAGCAAUCCGG